RNAcentral lists this long non-coding RNA (27550 nucleotides) under Vitis vinifera (wine grape). RNAcentral's name for it is "long non-coding RNA (VVIN_LNC002436)". Lineage: Eukaryota; Viridiplantae; Streptophyta; Magnoliopsida; Vitales; Vitaceae. The record is from RNAcentral.
GAAAGAAAAAUCUGAAACCACCUCAAAUUUGUCUUAUAUAUAUAUAUAUAUUAACAAAUUUUUAAAAACCAUUUCCAGUAAAAAAAAUUGCCAAACACAUUUUUUAAGUUAAGAGUAGAAAACUAUUUUCAAGAUCAGUUUCUGAACAAAUCCUUAAAGUUUCCUUUAGCCUAGGAGUCUCACCUAGAGGAAAAUUGAUGAAUUAUCACCAUUGAAAAUUCAAGGCAUGCAAGAAAACUUAAUAUUAUUCCUCAUCAGUUUUGUUUUACAACAAUUAGCAUUAUUUAUAGGCUUUCAAAAAUCCUAAAAAUGGAAUAAAAGCAUAAACAUAGAAACUAAAUUGAUAUAGUAACUUAUUAGAACUCUUAAUUCCUUCUUCAAAUUAUUAAAUCUUCUAAAUAAAAAAAUUAUUAAAAAAAUAAAAACUUCUUUUUAAAUUUAGAAACUUAAUAUAUAAAUUUCUUGUAGUAAGAGUCUCUAAUAAAGAAGACUUUUAGAAUUUCUUUUAAGGAGAAAUUCCCAAUAAAAAAGUUUCACUAAAUGAAACUCAAAUACUAACUAAUAACUAAUUAUGAAUUUAGAGAACCAAAAAAACUGAAAAAUACCUAAAUGCUCUUGAUAGAGUAAUUUAGAAACUUUUUUAUUUCGUUCCAUUUCUUUCUUGAGUAGAUUUUGGAGAUUCGACUCCAUAAAUUUUUUUGGAACUGCUGGCUUAAUAUGCAUCCUACUCGAAUGAGGUACAUCACAUCUAUAGUGAUAGUCAUUAUAAAUCUACACAAAUGAAAUUUAUAAGGAAAAAGAAGUGUCUAUAAAUCCUUACAUGUAGAUUCACGUAAGGAAGAGAUAAAGAGAUAAAGCGGGAAAUAGUUAUAUCCAUGUAAUAAGUAUAAUUAGAAAAAAAAAAUUAAAGAAAGAGAAAACAUUAUGAGCUAAAUAGCGGUAUUCAAUGCAAUAAAAGUGUCUCUGACAUGGAUCUCACACCUGUACCAGUGUUGUUUCGUGUUAACAUGGGUAUUUCGGUUGAAAUUAACAUGUCCAUGUAUAACAAGUAUCUAUUAUGCGUUUUGUAAGGCAUGAUUAUUUUCUUCCUAAGUGUGAUUGCUUAUGAAGUUUGAAGUGUGGAGAAAGUAAGCUCAGGUGAAAAGGAUUCGGAAACUCAGAACACAGAGGAUUUGUUGAAAUAUCGCCCAAACCCAGACAUGCUGAUUAGCAAGACAGAUAUGACUUUUGAGGCAAAUAGAGAUUAUUGUUCUAUCUUGGAGGAGACUGAUCUGUGCUAAUGAAGAAAUAGAGAGAAAGAAGAAACAAUCUCCAUCUAUGACAAGGGAAAACAAGAUGAAGGAAGGUCCAAGGGGUGGAAGAAGAUGGCUUGUUGUGGAGUCUAAAUCUUUUGAGCUUUUGAUUGAUGAUGUAGGAGGAAAGUCGACAGGUGCAUUUGGGAGAGAUGCAGAGGACUAACCUCUUGGAUCAGAUUUGGGGAUGCAAGCCUUAGUUGUUUGUUGGUUGGAGUUGAGACUUGCUGUAGAGGUAGUGAUGAUAGAAGCUGGUCCCUUGUUUGGGAGGAGGAGGGAAGGAAGUAUAGUUUGGAGCGUCGUUCAAAUGAGGUGGGAAGAUUUAUCCUUUGCUUAGUUUGUGAUAUAGAGGCAAAACGCUUUUGCCUAAUUUUUCCAGAAGGGAAGGGGUUGUUUGGUGGUUGGAAUAUUUUGGCAGAGAAGUUGAGAGGGGUUGGGGUAGUUCCCACUGGAGGUUUAAAGGAUCCUCUUUCCAUUGAGGUGCUUAUGAAGGAAAAAGAACUAAUACCAAGGACCUAUGCGGAUGUUGCAAAAUAAAAAACGGGUAGGUUAGGAGAUAAGGUCUGGUUGGAGUUGGGAAGGAGGAAGAUGCAUGGAAGACUAGAGCAGUUGGAUCGCUGUUUAGUGGGUAGAUGGGAAAAUGUUUUGAUCCCUUCCCCUGAGUUGGAUUUUCUGAAAAAUUGGGUUGUUCAAGCUUGGCUCCUCAAAGGGAGGUUGAACAUAGUUGUGUUGGGAAGAGGACUCUUGCUUUUUGAGUUUUAGUUGUUAAGUGAGGCCGAGCGUGUUCUUGCUAGAGAGAAGAGAAGGGUGAAAGACAAUGUCUUAUUUAUGGAAAAAUGGUACCCGGAGGUGGGGUGCUUUUGUACUGGAACCAACGUAAACGAGGCUUGGGUGAGAGUGUUGGGUCUUCCUCUUCACUUUUGGAGCCGCUAGGUGUUUAAAUUGAUAGGUGAUGGUUGUGGUGGUUUCAUAGCAGUGGACGAAAACACAGAUUCUAUGGCAAGUUGCAAUGGGCUAGAAUUUUGGUGAAGGUGGUUGGUAGGGACUUACCUACCUCUGUUCAGAUUGGGGUUGGGGCAAGGUGUUUCUUAGUCCAUUUGUGGUGGGAAUCCCUGCCUUGGUUCUCUCAAGUGGUGCUGGAGGGAAGUAUUCUUAGGGAGGGGGUUCCAGUGGAUGAAGAAGAAGCAGGGGGAAGACCACGUGUCGCGUGUAGUGGAAGAGUGUUGGAGAAGGAGGUGCAGUCCAAGGUGCAGACUUAAGUACAAGUUGUGCCGCCUUGUGGAAGUUCUUCAAAAAGUGCUACAGGCUUUUCCUCUGACUACUCUGCAGGGGGGUCUAGUCCUGAGGUAAUUGAUGGAGAAGAAAGCCUAAGGAAUAGGGGUCAAGGUGCAAGGGGUGUAGCCAAAGUGGGUGGCCAUGGUUUUGGGCCUGAUCUUUGGGAGGCCCAGAAUAGAAGUGGGCUAGGGGAGGGUUUUCAUGAGACUGCUCUAGUGGAGGCCCCGCUGCAAGGUAUGGAUAGCGAUCCAAGGCCCAUCUUGUUAAAAGAAUGGGUGGUGGGUUGUGAAGAGAGGCCCUUUUUCCUGAAGGGUUCUUUAGUGGGCUGCGAGGGGUUCUCCGAAAUGGGCUUCGGGCUUGGAGUAGGGGGCUUAAAAGGAGAUAGGGCUCUUUUCUCUUCGGCGGUGGCAGAGAUGGGCUUCAGAGGAGGAUUUGCAUGCUCAAGUUAGAGGAUAAGGGGCUCGCUUGCUUUCUCGGAGGGGCUAUGAGGGAAUCAGAGUCUCUUACGAUGAACGCUAGAGCGAAGAUCAUUGAUGAAGCGUUGGCAGUUGAGGCAUCUAGGUACGAUUCCUUUCCCGCUGUCUUUGGGGGGGAUCGGGACUUCUUCUCUUCUUCUCCUUCCUCUGGGUUUGAUCGGGCUUUGGUGGUGGGGGAUUUUUCUAGCUCGGGAGGGGUAGACACCGUUGAAGGAGUCGGUUUUCAGGCUCCGUUGUGUGUUGUGUUGACUGAUGGAAGUCCGUGGGUGAUGGAAACAUAAGGGGGAAAGUCUUUGGCUGAGAUUAGAGUAAGAGAAGAAGUUGAUGAGCCCGAGUUUGAUGAGGCACGACAGAAAAGGGAGGUUUCUGGCAGUAGUUGGGAUGAUAGUAGUUUGACAAAGUUUAGCAAAUCUUUGGGGUUUACAACAGAAGGUGUUGAAGGGGAAAUCUUAAAAUUGCUUCUAAGAUUGAAAAACAGAAGAGACCAAGGUAAGAAUAGGGGAACUUUAGGGACGACUAGGUUUGAUCGAGAAGUAAAAAAGUUAGAAUGUUCGAUUAAUUAUGACGGAGNNNNNNNNNNNNNNNNNNNNNNNNNNNNNNNNNNNNNNNNNNNNNNNNNNNNNNNNNNNNNNNNNNNNNNNNNNNNNNNNNNNNNNNNNNNNNNNNNNNNNNNNNNNNNNNNNNNNNNNNNNNNNNNNNNNNNNNNNNNNNNNNNNNNNNNNNNNNNNNNNNNNNNNNNNNNNNNNNNNNNNNNNNNNNNNNNNNNNNNNNNNNNNNNNNNNNNNNNNNNNNNNNNNNNNNNNNNNNNNNNNNNNNNNNNNNNNNNNNNNNNNNNNNNNNNNNNNNNNNNNNNNNNNNNNNNNNNNNNNNNNNNNNNNNNNNNNNNNNNNNNNNNNNNNNNNNNNNNNNNNNNNNNNNNNNNNNNNNNNNNNNNNNNNNNNNNNNNNNNNNNNNNNNNNNNNNNNNNNNNNNNNNNNNNNNNNNNNNNNNNNNNNNNNNNNNNNNNNNNNNNNNNNNNNNNNNNNNNNNNNNNNNNNNNNNNNNNNNNNNNNNNNNNNNNNNNNNNNNNNNNNNNNNNNNNNNNNNNNNNNNNNNNNNNNNNNNNNNNNNNNNNNNNNNNNNNNNNNNNNNNNNNNNNNNNNNNNNNNNNNNNNNNNNNNNNNNNNNNNNNNNNNNNNNNNNNNNNNNNNNNNNNNNNNNNNNNNNNNNNNNNNNNNNNNNNNNNNNNNNNNNNNNNNNNNNNNNNNNNNNNNNNNNNNNNNNNNNNNNNNNNNNNNNNNNNNNNNNNNNNNNNNNNNNNNNNNNNNNNNNNNNNNNNNNNNNNNNNNNNNNNNNNNNNNNNNNNNNNNNNNNNNNNNNNNNNNNNNNNNNNNNNNNNNNNNNNNNNNNNNNNNNNNNNNNNNNNNNNNNNNNNNNNNNNNNNNNNNNNNNNNNNNNNNNNNNNNNNNNNNNNNNNNNNNNNNNNNNNNNNNNNNNNNNNNNNNNNNNNNNNNNNNNNNNNNNNNNNNNNNNNNNNNNNNNNNNNNNNNNNNNNNNNNNNNNNNNNNNNNNNNNNNNNNNNNNNNNNNNNNNNNNNNNNNNNNNNNNNNNNNNNNNNNNNNNNNNNNNNNNNNNNNNNNNNNNNNNNNNNNNNNNNNNNNNNNNNNNNNNNNNNNNNNNNNNNNNNNNNNNNNNNNNNNNNNNNNNNNNNNNNNNNNNNNNNNNNNNNNNNNNNNNNNNNNNNNNNNNNNNNNNNNNNNNNNNNNNNNNNNNNNNNNNNNNNNNNAGGAGGGUGUCUCCGUCAAUGAGAAGAUUCUCGGAGGUGAUCGAUAAUCUGGAUUGAGGGAUCUCCCUCUUCAGGGGGGCCCGUUUACUUGGAGUGGUUGGUUGAACAACCAAGCCAUGUCAAGAUUGGAUUAGUUUUUGGUGUAGGAGGACUGGGAGGGCCAUUUUAGUGGGGUGGUGCAAUGUACUCUUCCUAGACUAGUGUCUAAUCACUUUCUCAUCCUGUUGGAUGGGGGAGGGGUGAGGAGGGGGCCAACCCCUUUUCGGUUUGAAAAUAUGUGGUUGAAGGAGGAGGGUUUUUAAGGAUCUACGGAAGGGAUGGUGGCAAGGUUUAAGUUUUAGUGGAUCCUCUAGCUUCAUCCUUGCAGAGAAAUUAAAGGCUCUGAAGGCUAUUUUAAAAAUUUGGAAUGAGGAUGUUUUUGGGAAGGCGGAGGUGAAUAAGAGAUUGGCCUUGGACAAAGUGGCUCUCUAGGAUGCUCAGGAGAAGUUGCGUUCUUUAUCUUUGGAGGAGCUGGAAGCUAGAAAUGAAGCAAAGGGGGAUUAUAAGAAAUGGGCUCUUAUGGAGGAGAUUUCUUAGAGACAAAAAUCAAGAGAAGCAUGGUUGAGGGAGGCUUAUAGAAAUACGAGCUUCUUUCAUAGGAUGGCCAACUCCCAUAGAAGGAGAAAUUGUUUGUCUAAGAUUAAAAUAAAUGGAACGUGGUUAAUAGAAGAGCAGGAUAUUAAGGGGGGUGUGGUCAGUGCUUUCAAGGACCUUUUGACAAAUCAUGGUGAUUGGCAUCCAACUUUGGAAGGUUUGAAAUUUGAUAGAAUUGACGUUGAGGAAGCAGCUAUAUUGGAGGAGGUAUUUACAGAGGAAGAGGUUUUUUCCGUUCUCUCAGAUUUGAACGGGGAUAAGGCUCUUGGUCCAGAUGGAUUCUCUCUAAGUUUCUGGCAGUUCAACUGGGAUUUUGUGAACGAAGAGGUUAUGGGUUUUUUGAAAGAGUUCCAUGAGCAUUGUAGAUUUGUAAGGAGUUUGAAUUCCACUUUCCUGGUUCUAAUCCCAAAAAACCCGGGCAUGGAGGACCUUAGAGAUUUCAGAAUGAUUAGUUUGGUGGGAGGCUUGUAUAAAUUGUUGGCAAAAGUGCUAGCUAAUAGGCUUAAGAAGGUAGUGGGAAAGGUGGUGUCUUCAGCUCAAAACGCUUUCGUUGAAGGAAGACAAAUUCUUGAUGCUGCCUUAAUUGCCAAUGAGGCAAUAGACUCUUUGUUGAAACGAAAUGAGAGUGGGGUGUUGUGCAAGUUGGAUAUAGCGAAGGCAUAUGAUCACUUAAACUGGAAUUUUUUGUUGUUUGUGAUGCAAAGAAUGGGUUUUGGAGAGAAGUGGAUUGGUUGGAUUUCCUGGUGCAUUUUCACAGCAACGUCUUUUGUUUUGAUCAAUGGCACCCCGGCGGGAUUCUUCAAUAGUUCAAGGGGGCUACGUUAGGGGGAUCCACUUUCUCCCUACUUAUUUGUGAUCGGGAUGGAGGCUCUUAGUAGGCUCAUCUUUAGAGCAGUGAGGGAGGGAGGGUAUCUUUCAGGCUGCAAGAUAAAGGAAAGAAGUGGUGAUGAGGUUUUGGUCUCUCAUUUGUUGUUCGCUGAUGAUACAUUAGUCUUUUGUGAAGCUUCCCAAGAUCAGAUGGCUUACUUAAGCUGGUUGUUGAUGUGGUUUGAAGCCAUCUCAGGUUUGAGAAUCAACUUGGAUAAGAGUGAAAUUUUGCCGGUGGGGAGAGUAGAGAAUCUGGAGGUUUUGGCUCUUGAGGUUGGUUGUAAAGUGGGAAGGCUACCAACUUCUUACUUGGGGCUUCCUUUGGGUGCGCAUCAUAAGUCCGUGGUUGUUUGGGAUGGGGUGGAAGAGAGUUUUCGGAAAAGGCUUGCCAUGUGGAAAGGACAAUUUAUCUCUAAAGGAGGGAGAAUCACCUUAAUUCAAAGCACACUGUCUAAUAUGCCCAUCUAUUUGAUGCCCUUAUUGCGGAUCCCAAGAGUGGUUAGUUUAAGAUUGGAAAAGAUUUAAAGGGUUUUUUUGUGGGGAGGGGGUGCUUUGGAGAGGAAGUCUCAUCUAGUAAAUUGGGAUACCGUAUAUUUGGACAAAAAGAAGGGUGGUUUGGGAGUUAGACGACUUUCUACUCUCAAUAGGCCCUGUUAUGUAAGUGGAACUGGUGCUUUGCGAAUGAAAGAGAGACUCUUUGGAGGAAUGUCAUUAGUAGGAAGUUUGGGGAGGAAGAAGGGGGUUGGUAUACUAGAGAAGUUAGGGAGGGUAUUGGAGUAGGCUUAUGGAAGGAAAUAAGGAAGGAAGGGUCUCUUUUGCAAAACAAAGUUGUAUUUUCUGUGGGGGAUGGUAGAAAGGUGAAAUUUUGGAAAGAUAAUUGGUGUGGGAACUUCGCUCUUUGUAAUUCUUUUCCCUCUUUGUAUGCAUUUGCGUCUUAUAAAGAGGCUUGGUUAGUGGAGUUGUGGGACUCUUUGGGAGAGGAAGGGGUUUGGAGCCCUAGGUUCUCUAGGCCCUUCAAUGACUGGGAGGUGGAGGAGGUGGAGAGAUUACUUUUGACAAUCCGGGGAAGGAGGCUUAAUCCUCAUUUGGAAGAUAGAGUGCUGUGGAAAGAGACUAAGGAUGAGAUUUUCUCAAUUAAAUCUCUUUAUAGUGCUCUAGUUUCAAGAAGUGUUGUUCAGUUUCCUAAUAGCAUUAUUUGGAGUCCCUGUGUUUCUACCAAAGUUGGUUUUUUUGUUUGGGAAGCCUCUUGGGGUAAGGUGUUAACUUUGGAUCAACUUAAAAAGUGGGGGUGGAUUUUAGCUAAUAGAUGCUUCCUUUGUUGUGUGGAAGAAGAGUCUAUUGAUCAUAUUCUUAUUCAUUGCACUAAGGCAAAAGUUUUAUGGGAGUUAUUGUUUGCUCUUUUUGGAGGUACUUGGGUUCUUCCUCUUUCGGUUAGAGAUACCCUUCUUGGUUGCCGUGGUUUUAAUAUGGACAAGAAGCGUAGAAAUGUGUGGAAGGCAGCCCCUUUGUGUCUUUUUUGGGCGGUUUGGAAGGAAAGAAAUAUGAUUGCUUUUGAAAAUGAGGAGCUUUCGAUUCAUAGGUUGAAAAUUUCUUUUGUAUGUAAUCUUUGGUUUUGGACUAAGUUGGUUGUAAAUGAAGGUCCUCUUCCUUUAUUCAGUUUUUUUGAUUGGUUAGGUUCUAGAUGAGGGCUGGUGAUAUUUGUUUCCCCUCUUCUUUUGUUCGUGCCUUCUGGCACCUCUUGUGUACCCCCUGUAUGCUUUUGGGUUAGCCUUAAGGUACCCUUUUUCUAAUAUAUUUCUUUCUCUGUGUUUUUACUUAUAAAAAAAAAAGUGUGAUUGCCAAGGUUUUUUUUUUUUUUUUUGACUUUUUUUUUCUUUUCAUUUUUAACCCUUUCAUUUUGGUUUAUAAUUCAAGAUAUUUUUGUAGUGCUGAAAAUCUAAGUGCAUGUCUAGUAACCUUUUCGAAAAUGGUUUUCAAAAAGUAGUUUCCAAGAAUAGUUUUGAGAACAAUUUUCAAAAACAAUUCUUGUGAAUAGUUCUUAAAAACAAUUCUUAAUUAUUUUUAGGAACAAAAUUCUGUUUGUGAACUCAAAUAAGAAAAAUGGUUUUAUCCACUCAUUAUUCAUGAAGGUAUUAUGCACUUAUGUACAAUGCAAAAUUCCCAAAUUUCAAUUGUUUUUCAGAACGCUCUACCAAAAAAAACAAAACUGAAGACAGCACAUAAUUGUUCUAAAAAACAUGUUUUUAGAAUAAAUUCUCAAAAAACUAUUUUCUAUCAAAAAUUUGCCAAGCAUGGUUUUUGAGUUAAAAAUUCUAAAGACUACUGAGUUCCCAAACUGGCCUUAAGAUCCUAUGGCAUGUAUUUUUGUAAUCUUAGUUGAUAAUGUAUACAGGUGAGAAGGUGUAGAGAAGUCUAGUUAGACAAACCUAAACCUCUCUAAAAUUUCUCUUUCUCCUUUCUCCUCAUCUUUUUCCUAGCCUUAGUCCCAAUCUCACAAGUUUUACUUCUAACUCGAUAUCAAAGUACCAAUCAAUCCUAGACUUUAUUGUAAAUUGGAUAGAUCAUUUCUAAAAUAUAAUAACAAAAUAAAAAUAUUCUGAAAUUUCUGUGGUUGAACAGAUUGAUUUUUCUGUUAGUGGUAGUGCCAUUUGCCCAUUUAUUUGAGGCCAUUUAGUUGAACUUUUAUAUAUCUCUAUGAUUUUUAUGAAUUUCAAUCAUGUUUUUGUUCUGAAAUUUGAGGAGAAAUGAUCCCAUUGACAACAUGAUGAUAGACUAAUGAAUCCUUCGUUUAAGGUUAGGCAUCAUUUGCUUUACUCGUUGGAAUUAAGUUUUUCUAAGUUGGGGAGAAUGGUGGGUAACAAUAUUCAGCAGGAAUAAUUUAUUUUAUUAGAAGUGAUUUAGUAGUUUUUUUUGGGGUCAAUUUUCUCGUUGUUUUACUUUCUAAUUUGAUUUAAAAGGGAGUCAUGUUCCUACUUUAGUCUUACUAGGAAAAGAAGUUCCACGAGUCUAUAUAAACUUAUGUAAAUUUUAAUGAAUAGAACUUAUUAUGAAGAACUAGGUAGCUUCUUAAGGUGUGAUGACCUUCUCUAGGUAUGAUUGCCUAGGAAUCUUGGUGUGAUUGCCAAGAUCUAUUUUUGUCGUUUCAUUUUACUUAUGUAUGAUUGCUUAGGAAACUUUAGGUGUAAUUGCAUAGAAACCUUUGUGUGGUUGCCAUGGGUCUGUCUUUUCUUUUCUUUCUUUUUCUUGUAUCUUCUUAGAUCCAUCAUCUCAUUAUACAACAAAAGGAAUUUUUAAAUAGUGCUGGAUUUUUUUUAUGGUUCUGUAUCAAAGUUAUUUUUUUCUUCUAUUUUUGCAACUUUACAUUUUUCUUGCUCUUUUAGUCUUUUUCUGCUUUAGCUUUCAUUAUGCAUUGCUUUGUCAUCAAUUUUAGUUUUCUGCUCUAGUGUUUGUUCCUUGCUGUGAAGGAUUUUAAUAGCUUGUUUUUUUAGGUUUUUCUGAUCUUUCCUCACCUUGUAAAUCUUCCGCUGGAAAAGUUCCAAGCGAUACUUGUUCAUACACUUCAGGUAUUUUUCUUUCCAAGGUUCUCCUAGAUACCAUUGAUAUUCUCUAGUAUUUGGUGAUUGCUCUAAUCAUCUAAUCAGUAUAUUUGUGGGAGCAUUAUAGAUUACAUAUGCAGAUUGUGGCAUCUCUUAGAAUUGUCUAAGAAAGAGUGUAUUUCUUGACUCCGGUUUGAGUUAAACAGUGCAUAUUAGAAUGUAAACUUUCAGGCACUGAACAUUUGUAAUCUUGCAUUCCCAUUUUGAACUUCUAGCACUUGCAUUUGAUAUUACUAAUGCCAUGCCUUUCAUAUCUGUUGCUUUCCUGGUUUAUCUAUGUAAUUGUUUCAUCUAGAGCUUUGUCUCAAACUUUCCUUUCUUUUUAGCUGUCUUAAAUUCAUUUUAGCAAUUGACCUUUUUAUUCAUAACAUUAUAUUUAUCACAAACAGUUUAUUGGUUGCUAAAUGAAGCUGAAGUCCUCUGUUGAAAGGGCGAGGCUGGAGGAGCCUUUUUCUGAGCAGGAGGUUUCCAAGGCUCUUAAGGGCUUUAGUGGGGAUAAAGUGCUUGGGCCUGAUGGUUUUUCUAUGGCUUUUUGACAAUCCUCAUGGGGGUUUGUGAAGGAGGAGGUCAUGGGGUUUUUCAGGGAGUUUCAUGAUCACAAUUGUUUUAUCAGAAGAAUGCAACUUUCCUAGUCUUGAUCCCAAAAAAGGGGGUGUGGAAGAUUUAAGGGAUUUCAUGCCAAUUAGUUUGGUGGGAGGGCUGUACAAGUGGCUGGCUAAAGUGUUAGCCAAUGGGUUAAAGCUGGUAGUGGGUAAGGUGGUCUCCAAGGCCCAAAAUGCCUUUGUGGAGGGUAGACAAAUUCUGGAUGCUGCCCUUGUUGCUAAUGAAGUCAUAGAUUUGAUUUUGAAGAGUAAUGAGGGGGUGGUGUUGUGCAAGCUUGAUAUAGAAAAGGCGUAUGAUCAUGUAGAUUGGUCCUUGCUUUCAAUUAUGGAUAUGAUGGGUUUUGGGGAGAUAUGGCUCUGGUGAAUGCAGUGGUGCAUCUCUACAACGAGUUUUUCCGUUUUGGUUAACGAGACUUCCUCAGGAUUCUUCCAAAGUUCUAGAGGUUUAAGGCAGGGAGACCCACUCUCACUGUACUUAUUUGUGAUUGCCAUGGAGGCACUUAGCUGCAUUCUAAGGAGAGCUUUAAGUGGGGGUUUUUUGUCAGCUUGUAAGGUGAGGGUUAGAGGGGGUGAAGGGGCUCAUGUGUCCCACUUAUUAUUCGUCGAUGAUACUUUGGUUUUCUAUGGGGCUUCUCAAGAUUAGAUGAAGUAUUUAAGUUGGACUCUAAUGUGGUUUGAGGCCAUUUCGGGGUUGAGAAUUAAUUUGGAUAAAAGUGAGUUAACCCCAUGGGAUGUGUGGAAAAUGUGGAAGCUUUGGCUGCAGAACUUGGUUGUAAGGUUGAGAGUCUCCCCUCUUAUUUGGGAUUGCCUUUGGGAGCUCCUUUUAAGUCCAUGGUUGCAUGGGAUGGAGUGGAGGAGAGGUUUUGAAAGAGACUAGCAAUGUGGAAGAGACAAUACAUCUCUAAAGGAGGGAGGCUCACUUUGAUUUGGAGUACUUUGGCUAACUUGCCCAUUUAUUUCAUGUUUGAGCUUACUUUGCCUAGGACGGUCAAAUGGAGGUUGAAGCAAAUUCAAAGAGAUUUUUUGUGGGGAGGUGGGGCUCUUGAGCGGAAACCUCAUCUUGUAAGAUGGGCGCUUGUUUGCUUAGACAAAAGAAAAGGAGAUUUGGGGGUGAAGUGUCUUUCUUCUCUUAAUAAGGCACUUUUGUGAAAAUGGAGUUGGAGGUUUGCAAAUGAGAGAGGGGCCUUGUGGAAUCAAGUGAUUAGGGGAAAGUAUGGGAGGAACAAGGGGGUUGGUGCUCCAAGGAAGUGAGGGGUGGGUAUGGCGUGGGGUUGUGGAAAGCAAUUAGGAGGGAGUGGGAUGUUGUAAGUUGUAAACUCUCCUUUGUGGUGGGCAAUGGUUAGAGGGUGAGAUUUUGGAAGGAUAGAUGGUGUGGAGAUUCACCUUUUUGUGUUGCUUUUCCUACUUUGUUUGCUAUAGAUACGUUGAAGGACGCCGGGGUAAAAGAUGUGUGGAGUUUCAUUGAGGGAGGGGGGAGUUGGAGCCCGCAUUUUGCUAGACCCUUAAAUGAUUGGGAGAUGGAUGAGGCGGAUAGUUUUUUAUUGGGUCUUAAUGGGAAGAGUGUUUAGUGGGAUAUGUAAGAUAGAGUGCUUUGGAUAGAGACUAAAUGUGGGAAGUUCUCUGUUAAGUCUCUCUACAAAGCUCUAGAAUCUAACCCAUCGGCCUCUUUCCCAUCGAUUGUCAUUUGGAAUUCAUGUGUGCAGCCCAUGGGGAGGGGGGAGUUGGAGCCCGCAUUUCUUUAGACCCUUCAACGAUUGGGAGAUCGAUGAGGCGAAUAGUUUUUUGUUGGGUCUCAAUGGGAAGAGUGUUCAGUGGGAUGUGGAAGAUAGAGUGCUUUGGAUAGAGACUAAAUGUGGGAAGUUCUCUGUUAAAUCUCUCUCUACAAAGCCCUAGAAUCUAGCCCAUCAGCCUCUUCCCAUCGAUUGUCAUUUGGAAUUCAUGUGUGCAGCCCAAGUGAGUUUUUUUUGGGUGGGAAGCAACUUGGGGGAAGGCUCUUACUUUGGACCAGCUUCAGAAAAGAGGAUGGCCUCUAGCGAAUAGAUGCUACCUUUGCCAAAUGCAUGAGGAAUCGAUAGAUCACAUCCUCCUCCACUGUGCCAAGACAAGGACUAUUUGAGCGUUGUUUUUCACUGUCUUCGGGGUGCAGUGGCUGCUGCCAGCCUCUGUUAAAAUGACACUCUUGGGUUGGAACAGAUCUUUUGUGGGAGAAAAGAGAGAGGAAGUUUUGAGAGCAGACCUUUUAUGUAUUUUUUGGACUGUUUAGAAGGCAAGGAACAAAAUUUUGUUUGAAGAUGUUGUGCUAUCCAUUCAAAAACUUAAGAGUUCUUUUAUUUAUCUUCUUUGGUCGGAGACGAAAUUGUUCCUAAAAGAUGGUUCUUCGACUUUAGUUGGUUUCAUUGAUUGGAUAGGUUCUUGUCGAGGGUGGUCUUUUUUGGCCCCUCCGCUUUUGAAGGCUGUUUUUUGUCCCAGCCGGGGAGGGGGGUGCUCCUAUGCUGUAUCUUUUUGAGUCACUAUUUUAGCGUCUCUUUUCAAUACAAUUUCUUCUUUUUUACUUAUCAAAAAAAAAAUUUAUCAUAAACAGUUUAACUCAGUAUCUUAUUGUCAGUAACAGUGUAUAUGUUUCUGAGUUGACCAAAAUGUUUUUGUUGUUUACCUUGGGUCCUCUUCGUGUGUUUGAAUUCUUGCUUUGCUUAUUGAUGCACAUAUAUUUCGUUAUUUUUCUCCAGAGAAGUUAUUACCCAGUUUAAACAAUCUGUUUGUAAGGAACUCUCCAGAAGAGCCUUUACUCGAGAGGAACUGCCAACAGACACAUUUACUUCUGAAUUUAUUUAACAUUCAGUUUGCUUGUAGAAUGCAUAUGAAUAUCUAAGUUUCAUCUUGUAUUUCUUCAUUUUCUGAAUUCUGUUAAAACUUACCGGAAAUGUAUUUGAACAGGGUUCAUCUCAUUCUGGUCCAGUGCUCACUCCAGCUGAAGUUUUAAUUGCUAUCCAUGGGAUUGAUCCUGAUAGAGAUGGAAUUCCGCUGAAGAAGGCAUAUAUUCUUCCUUUCUUCCCAUCUUUUCCCCAAAGCUGACCAAGUAACACAGCUAACCAAUAUUAAUCUAUGGGCAGGUCACAGAUGCAUGCAAUACUUGUUUUGAGCAGCGGCAGAUAUUCACUCAACAGGUUCUUGCAAAGGUCUUGAAUCAAUUGGUUUGUAUCACUGGAAACUUAUAACUUUGUCAACAACACCUUUAACUACUACUUGAAUUCACAAAUGACCAAGAAUGUUCCCAUCAGGUUGAGCAGAUUCCUCUUCCCUUAUUAUUCAUGCGUACAGUACUACAAGCUAUAGGUGCUUUUCCUGCCCUGGUAAAAACUUUAAAACCUUCUACAUUAUGGCGCUUGGUAAUUGCAUGAUUUUAUUUAUAAAUGAUUUAUUUCAAUAUUACUGAUGCAUAUUGGUUGUUAGGUAAAUAAACAAAUAUUUUAGCAGCACAUACUGAAAGAAGAUUUCAGAUUUUAGACCUAUUAGCUUGAUCACUUGUCUCUAUAAGGUAAUAGCCAAAGUUCUAUCAGGGCGAUUAAGAGGAGUACUACACGAAACUAUCCACUCUACUCAAGGUGCUUUUGUUCAAGGGAGACAAAUUUUGGAUGCAGUUCUUAUAGCCAAUGAGAUAGUGGAUGAGAAAAGGUGAUCAGGGGAGGAAGGAGUUGUCUUCAAAAUUGACUUUGAAAAGGCUUAUGACCAUGUGAAUUGGGAUUUUUUGGAUCACAUGUUGGAGAAGAAGGGGUUUAGUCCUAAAUGGAGGAAUUGGAUGAGAGGUUGUUUGUCUUCGGUCUCUUAUGCUAUUUUAGUGAAUGGAAAUGACAAAGGGUGGGUCAAGGCAUCUAGAGGAUUAAGGCAAGGUGACCCUUUAUCCCCUUUUUUGUUCACUAUUGUCGCAGAUGUGUUGAGCAGAAUGAUGUUGAGAGCUGAGGAAAAAAGUAUGUUGAAGGGUUUCAAGGUAGGUAGAAAUAGAAUUAGGGUGUCCCAUUUGCAAUUCGUAGAUGAUACCAUCUUCUUUUCUAACUCUUAUGCGGAAGAGCUGCAAACUCUCAAGAGUUUAUUGUUAGUGUUUGUGCAAAUUUUUGGGCUUAAGGUCAAUCUUGACAAGAGUAAUCUUUUUGGCAUCAACCUUGAUCAUAAUCAUCUCUCUAGGUUAGCCUUGUUGCUUGAUUGCAAGGCUUCUGAUUGGCCUAUACUCUACCUGGGUCUUCUUUUGGGAGGGAAUCCAAUUGCUUGCGGAUUCUGGGAUCUAGUGAUUGAGAGAAUCUCAAGGAGAUUAGACGGGUGACAAAAAGGCUUACUUGUCUUUCGGUGGUAGGAUAACUCUUAUCCACUCUUGCCUUUCCCACAUUCCUAGCUAUUUUCUCUCUCUGUUUAAGAUUCCCGCUUCAGUGGUUGCAAAAAUUGAGAGAUUGCAAAGGGAUUUCCUUUGGUCAAGGGUUGGGGAAGGUAAGAGAGAUCAUCUUGUUAGUUGGGAUGCAGUGUGUAAGCCGAGGGUAAAAGGGGGUUUAGGGUUUGGGAAGAUUUCUUUAGGGAAUCUCGCUCUUUUAGGGAAGUGGUUGUGGAGGUAUCCUAGGGAGAGUACAACUUUGUGGCAUUAGGUCAUUCUAAGCAUUUAUGGGACACAUUCAAAUGGUUGGGAUGCCAACACUUUAGUCAGAUGGUCACAUCGUUGUCCUUGGAAGGCUAUUGCACAAGUAUACUCGGUUUGUGGUAGGAGAUGGGGAAAAAAUUUGCUUUUGGGAAGAUUUGUAGUGGGGGACUAGCCUUUGAAAUCCCAAUAUCCAAGACUAUUUAGAGUAGUCACGGAUAAAAAUAUUUCUAUAUCUUCAAUUCUCGGUUAUGUUCGCCUUUUCUCUUGGAACUUUAAUUUCCGUUGUAAUCUAUCCGAUUCCGAGAUCGAAGAUCUAGGCUGCCUCAUGCAAUCUCUUGAUUGUGCGCAUUUAUCCACUUCGGCUUCAGAUGCGAGAUCCUGGUCUUUAUCUUCUUCAGGAUUGUUUACAGUCAAGUCCUUCUUUAUAGCCUUGUCCGAAAUGCCCGAUUUAUCUCCACUUUUCUCUACUAAGUUUGUAUGGAAUUCUCAAAUCCCUUUCAAAGUCAAGUCCUUUGUCUGGUUAGUGGCACACAAGAAGGUAAAUACUAAUGACUUGCUACAAUUGAGAAGACCCUACAAAACUCUUAGUCCUGACAUUUGUAAGUUGUGCAUAAAGUAAGGAGAAUCAGCAGAUCAUCUUUUCCUACAUUGUUCUUCGUCAAUGGGGUUGUGACACAAAUUAUUUCAGUUAGCCAAGAUGGAUUGGGUUCCUCCGAGAAGCAUUUCAGACAUGAUGUCCAUCAAUUAUAAAGGUUUUGGCACUUCCAAGAGAGGGAUAGUUUUGUGGCAAAAUGCGUGCAUUACUUUAAUUUGGGUUGUGUGGCAGGAAAGAAAUGCUAAGAUAUUUGAGGAUAAAGUUAGGAAUUCAGAGAAUCUAUGGGAUUCCAUUCACUUCCUUGCUCCUCUUUGGGCUUUCUGUUCCGUGGUUUUUAAGGGCAUUCCCUUUAACGUGUUACAAAUAGAUUGGCUAGCAGUGUGUAGUUCCAAUGGGAUGGUCUAGCCAAAAGAGCUUGUUCGUAGUUUUCAUAGUGUAGUUUCUUGAUCUUUUAUUGUGUUAUUUAGUUUUAUCUUUGGUGGGAGGAUUCUUCAUCCUUCUUUUUCUAUCAUUAUAUAUAUUUGUUGUUUCCUAUCAAAAAAAAAAAAAAAAAUUAUUGUGGCUCCAUUGGAUUGACUAAUUUAUUGACAAGUGACUCCCAAUCUCUAAUAACUGUUCAAGUUUUUGAAUAAUGUUGUUUUAUUUAUUAAUGAUUUCCUAAUGGUUAAUUAAGUUUUUAUAUUAGUAUUUAUAUAAGGUUAAUUUCAUUGAUCUUUCCUAAGAUUUUGGCUAAAUAACAAAUGAGUUGGGUAGGGCCGUAUUUGAUGAAAUUUCAAACCAAUAAGAGCCAAACGUAUUUAAUCAAAACCUCAGGACAGGUGAGUGAAAUCAACCCCAUUUAUACAUAUACAUACAUAUGUAUGUAUGUAUGUCUAUUUAUAAUAUUUGUAACCAUAUUCCAAGUUGGUGCAUAUUUUAUACCUUAGAAUGUUAAUUCACGUAGCGCAUACUGGAAGAAAACUAUUCCAAGUUUCAUAAUUGUUUUAGGCUCCAUUACAAUAGAUAAUUUUUUGACUAGUGACUCUUGAUCUAUAGUAACCAUUCUAGUUUUUGGCUAAUAAAUUGUCAUAGUUAAUAAUGGUUUAUCAAGGUUUUAUACAAGUUUCCACACACCCACACACAUACAUAUGCGUAUCUGUUUAUAAUAUUUUAUCCAUAUUCAACAUUGUUGCAUAUCGUAAACCUUAGAAUGCUAAUUCACUAUUAAAAGGUCCUCCAAUUGUGGCAGUCUACUUGUAAGAGCUGAUUCUUAAAUAUAUGUUUCCACAAUCAUUCCAUACUAUUCUUUGGGUUUAAACUUUAAUUUUAGAUAGGUCUUUAAGAAUAUGUUUGGUUGGCUAGAUAGGAUCAGAUGAGAUAUACAUAUUAUGCCGUAUUUAUGUAAUGCUUAUAUAUAUACAUAGAUAGAUAUUGCAUACCAAUGUUUGCUAUUAAAAAAAUAUGAAAUUGAUCUCAUGUUUAGCAUUAUUUGAAAAUCAUUCUAUAAUCUAUAAUCUAUAAUUUAAUAAAUCAUUUCUUAUUUCUUUGUUAAUAGUAUUCAUGAUUAAAAUAUUUAAAAUUUAUAAAUAAAAAACUAUCACAUUAUGCUUUUAAAUACAUAGUAGCAAUUUGUAUAUAUACUAAAUAAUACUAUAUAUUAGCAUUAUUUUAGGUUGAGUUAUACACAUUUUUUUAAAUUAUACACAUUUUUUUAAUUCUUUUCUUUUUUGAGCUAAAAUUUUAUUUUUUUAAUCAAAAUUUCUUGUUUUGCAAAAUGAGCAACAUAAAAAAAAAAAAUUAAAUGAAGAAAAUUGAUAAAAGAAAUAAAUUUAUGAUCCAUUGGAUAUUUAUAUUCUAAUUCUCAACUUUGAAUUAUAAUAUCCCAUGUAGAGAUGAUAUAAAAAAGGUUAGAUACCUUAUCUCAUCCUUUAUCCCAUUAGCAUUAUUUUAGGUGGUACUCCUUAAGUACUAUCCAGGACAUCAACAAAAUCUACAAAAAGGGCAAUCCGUCUCUACUCAUUGUUCCAAUUUAAAUGUACUUCAUGCAUAUAUGUAAUUUUUUUUUCUAUUUAUUUUUCAAAGUGUAAAGGAAAAGACUUAAAAUACACAACAUGAAAUACAUGAAAAUGGGAAAACAAUACCUGAUAUGGUUUGCAAGUUGAUAACUAUGCCUUGACUCACCGAAACUGUUCCUUGUCUAAAAUCACGCUGAAUUUGGAAAGCCCUUAUACUUGCAGUCGAACCAAUGACCUUUAAUCCAACUUUGGUGAGCUGACUAGUAUUGUAUCAUUUCUACUAUAAAAUCCAGGGCCCUAACCCCAUCUCUAACAUCAUAGAACUGCCAAAACUACUAAUUGAAAAUUUACCUGCAGUUCCUACAUUUUAAUUAAAAAUUAUCUUCAUUUUUCUAAGAAGGGAAUUCACCAAGUUGUUCACAUUUCAUGCCUUUUGAUAUUGAAUUAAUUACUUACAGUUGACUGCUGCUUAAUAUGCUGUAGGUGGAAUUCAUAAUGGAGAUCCUCUCCCGUCUUGUAAGCAAGCAGGUAAACUAUAUAUGAUCCAUUAUGCUGUUUGCAGGUCAAUCAGUGGUUUAUGCUUAUUUAAUUAUUGAUUUUAUGAGCUGCACAGAUAUGGAAAUACCCAAAGUUAUGGGUAGGAUUCUUGAAGUGUGCACUCUUAACAAAGCCUCAGUCUUUCAGUGUGUUGCUGCAGGUGAAAUUCUGUUUGCUAUCAUAAUUUAUGAUUUCUUCUUCUCUUUGGAAAACUUUCAUUUAUGAAAUUUUGGAACAGACACCAACCAUUACUUAUUUUUCUCUGAUUUUUUGGCUAUCCUUUACACUGAAGAAUUAUCUGUUUUUGAACUUGUAUUGAUUUUUCAGCUACCUCCAGCGCAGCUAGAAAAUGCCCUCAAUAGAACAGCAGCACUUAAGGCACCCUUGGUUGCUCAUGCUAUCCAACCGAAUAUUCGGUCUUCACUUCCAAAGUUGGUGCAAAAAUCAGUGUUUGUUAUGGUUGAAAAGAUACUAUCAUUGACCUCUUGACCAAACAGCUUGCUCAUUUUUUAUUGGAUUGGAUGUCCUGUUUUAGGUCUGUAUUGGUAGUACUUGGAAUUACUCCUGAUUCUCAAACUUCAAGUCAGACUCAAACAACUCAGGCUCAAAUAGCUCCACCUCAGACUGGAGAUACAACCAACUUAGAUAAGGAGGUGGUAACAGAAAAAGCUAAAGAAUCAUCUAGUGCCAGCUGAAAUGACAAGUUAAAAAGAGUAUGUUUCUGUUUGUUAGUUAUCUUCCUCCAAACUCCUUUAUUGUCAGAUUUUUUUCUCUUUGUUCUUUUAAUGGGGACUGUUCUUAUUUGUUUUCCUUUUCAUCCUCUUCUUGCCCCAACCCCCUUGUUUCUCUUUUUGUUAGAUGAAUCUGCACUGUAGGUGGGACAUUUCUGGCCCCACCCCUCCAAUGUAAAUGGGUUACUGAGCUCCAAAAGCAAUGGCUUAUCUGUGGCAAACUUCAACUUCGAUGACCUGUUGGGAUGGAAGAGCCAAAGAAGGGAUGGAAUCUACUCGUUUUAUUGCGGUCUCCAUCUGGUGAUAAAAUAAUCUGAUUGCCAUGUAGUUGAAAACUGCCAACCCUUUCUUCACCAAAAAAUAUUUACUGCUUAGGAAAAGUUAGGACUAUGUAGCACUAUGAAAAAAAUGUAAAUUGUGAUUGUCUCAAGGGUUUUUGGGUUUUUCAUUUUUGCCUUUUUUGUUUUUUUUCUGGAGAAAUCACAUGAUGUUAAAAGAAAUGCUAAUAUAGUGUAUUUUUUGGAUGGGCCAUUGAUGGUCUUGGAAAGAACAGUUAUGGAAUAAAUGAGAAAUUGUAAGGGAGGUGGAACUUUCGGUGCAUGCACCCUUUUCCUUUAGUUUCCAAUCGCUUUUGAUGCAUUGGUUGCUGCUUGAUUUUGAUCCAACCCGUAGUCAACUGAAUACAAGUGUAAGACAUUGAAGUAUCCAUACCUGCAGUCUGAUUUCAGUGGUUAAAAAGUUAGCCAGCUUCCGUCUCAAUCUUUGAAGGUGGUGGUUUAUGUUGGUUGUCCGAGCAUCAGUAGCCAAGUGAACUGCUUUUAAGCUCACUCCCCCCAUCAGCGUGAUAAUCCCAACCAAGGUGACUUACUACCAACAGAGAGUUGCAUGUUUAAAUACUCUACCAUUCACUUUUUGGUUCAAGGCUUCAAGGCUCAUCUAUCUAUUUUUAUGUUUUGCAUUGCAUACCUUUCUUUCAAUGAAGAUGGUAUAUAACAUGAUUGACUGACUAAAAUGGUUACAUGAUAAAACCGCAUAAACCCUUUGUCAAUUGGCAGAAAAUAAUUAAUUGCAAAGACAAGUCCUUCAAUGCGUUACAAAUUCAUUAACAUCGAAUGGGGAAACCUAAUUACAAAAGAAUCAGAGUUAAACAAUUCUUGAUAAACUUGAUGUCUGGUUAUACCUCCCAUGGCUAUUGCUCUAAAUGGGAAUGCCAAGGAAAAUAUGAACUCAAUUUAUAGCACCUGCUUACAAGAAGAGACGAGAGGGGUGGUGCUGUGGUGCUCUGCUUCAUACAUGUCUCUGCUGAAGGUGCCAAAAGAAUAAUCAAGGCUCGGAUGGGCGUGACCUUAUCAUUUCAUAUUGUCAGAUUUGAAGCAGGAAUUCCAUGCAUUUGAAACCAAUCGGGCAUAUGGAAUCUCUCAUAAAGUACAGGCCUGACAUCCUUCUGCAGAGAGAGGUGCUUGAGGAGUGGCAGGAGGACCUCCAAAAGCUAUAAAAGCCAUGUGAUAUAACAAAAGCAAAUCAAAAUACAAUCUAAACAUUGUUAAGAGAUGCUUGGUAAUGUUUUCAAGAACAGUGGUCAGAAAACAGUUUUGAAUUGUUUAAGGAAUAAAAUUAUGUUUAGAAACUUAAAUAUGAAAAACCGUUUCUGGGUUUAUUCCUCAAUGCUGUAUACUUAUAUAUAAUUUAAAAGUUUCCAAAGGAUUUAUCUUCAAUUAUUGCUAAGAGCAUUCUACUAAAAAGUGAAAAACAAAAAACACAUCAAAUUGUCCUAAAACAUAGCCUGUGUGUCUUCAGAACAGAUUAUAAGAAAAUUGUUUUCGGUCAAAAGUUUAUCAAAUAUGUUUUUAUAAGUUAUAAAGCAGGUUUUUUUUUUCUUUAUUUAUUUAUUAUGAAGAACAGAAAUUAUACUGAGAACCUACCUGCUUAUCAUUAGGCUGUUCAGCGGAAAAUGGAACGCACGGUAUCCCAUUCAAUGGUUGCAGCAAGAAACUGAAUGGGUUGUUAUCAACAAUAACAAUUCGACGGAGAUCCUUUGAUAAACAAGAUAGAUCCUUCACGUGUUCCCGAUAUUUUCUGUGAUUUACCACGAAGUUAAAUAUUCUCUCAAUGAAACUCAAUCUUGGUGACCAAAACCGAUUCUGUAAAUGUGUAUAGCACUGAAUGGGGAAGUCAAAGUAUAUGUUAGGAGAACCAUUAUGCAUGUAGAGCAUAAUUAACUAAGAUGCUAAUGAUUCUUUUUCUUUGUUAAAGAAAAAAAAAAUGGAAAAAUAGUUCAGAAGAAUGAUGAUUUUUUCAAAUCUUCCCAACUCAUCAAACACUCUCAUAGACAUCCACAACUACAUAUGGAUUCUCUAAAAGACUAUAUUUGAUUGACGGGAUAUAAUAUAAUAUAUAUAUAUAUCCUACAAUUGGAUAAGAAAUACAAAUCCUAGGAUAUGAUUUUCAAUGGGAUUUGAUAUCCUUAGAUAUUGUAUCUAAUACACGUAAUAUAUCCAAUGAGAUUCAUUGUGCUAUGUUAUUUUUAUAUUUAAUGAGUGAAAUGAAUGAAAAAAAAAAUAGUAUAAAAUAUAUAUUAUUUUUCAAUAUUUAAAAUAAAAAUUAUAUUACAUUUCAACAUUUUCUAUUUAAAAAAAUGAAAAUUUUCUUACUUUUAAUAAUCUUCAUAAUUAAAUAUUUAAACUUUAUAAAUAAAAGUUUUUUAUAUUAUUUUAUUUAAUAUAUAUAUAUAUAUAGUGUGUAUUAAAUAAUACAAACAUUAAUAUUAUUUUAUAAUAUAUUUAUAAAUAUUCUUUUAGUUCUUUUUUAACCACAAUUUAAUUUUAUAAUAAAAAGUUUUUAUUUUGAAAAAUAAGUAAUAUAAAAAAAUAAUAAAUAAAUAAAUUUAUGAAACAUGGGAUAUGCAUAUUCUACAUCUUAAUAAAAGAUGAUAUAAAAAAAGUGGAUAUUAUAUCCCAACAUUUAUCCUAUCAUAUGUAAACAUAGGAUGAGUGAUGAAAUAAAUUAUAUAUAUAAUAUUCAUCCUUUUAUCUUAUCCUGUACCAUAUAAGUUAACCAAACAUUGCCUAAGAGUUUCAUAAGGGGAAGAAGAGGGGGACAAUAUAAGGUGAAAAGCACAAGACAGUUGUUCUUGAUAGUAUUUUUGAUGUGGAAUAAGAUGAUCAUGAUACUCAUGAACACUAAUGGCUUCACAUUGUACUUUCUGGAGGAAGUCAAGGGAACAAGUAGGAGGAAAGCUUGGGCACAUGAGCAUAAGUAUUGGACUACCUAUGGCCUAGAACUUGUGAAUAUAAACAAUAAUAGGCCAUCCUACAUGCUGCAGUAUAACAAAGGGAAAAAUAUGUUUCCUGGUUUCUGUUUGAUGUGACUGCCACUGCUAACUGCUCACAAGGUUAACUACCAAAAAGAGACAGGAGUGCAUUUUCGUUCUCAUACAUCUAGCCAUUGAACAGAAAAAAAAACGGAAGUAUCAAUCAAAUCAUGACAGUUCAGUAAUCACUCAAAAAAAUUGUAGGCUUAAUGCAAACUCCAGUAGUAGCUAAUGGGGCAUCAAAGUGCAAUUGGAAAUUCAAUAGGAGAGUACUCACUCAACAAAGUCAAUAGCCCAAUUUCUUGAAGUGAGCAACAUGAACUGUUUUUAGCUAUAUUGGGAGCUAUGCCCUCAAUUAAAUCUUUAGAGACCCACAUUUCUUUUUGGUCUUCCUCCUGUCCAUUUUAGCCUAUCCAGUGGAACAAGAGAUUAAUUGUGACUCCUAAGAAAUGGAAACAACCCACAAUACUUUGUUACAGUUACAUGGGAAGCAGUUCAUCCUACUGGUUUUCCAGCCUAUUGAGAGUUGUAUCAUUAAAAACAAAUUUUAAUCGUUUCCAUGUCACUUUCUUACCGUGGACCCAUAACUGAAACUAACUUGUAAUCCAGUUUUUUUAGUAGGUGAAUCAUGAAUAUGAUAAGUGCAGGUCCAACACUACCUAGAUCAUCAAUCUCAUUUUUUCCUACCUGCAUUAAGUCCUGCAGUAUCUCUCUGUUUUUCUUUCCCCUUUUUGGUUCUAGAGGACUAACUAAUAUUUGCUUGAGUGCAAAAUUCUAGCCCCACUCCAGUCCUUGGACUCCUGCAUCUUAUAGUUCCCACCGUUUGUCUCACAUGGUGUCAUACUUAGGUUUCCCAUCAAUUCAAACCAUAAAGCAUAAUUAGUCUGGCUCUAUCAAAGUCCAUAAAACAUAAUUAGUCUGGCUCUAUCAAAGUUCUUAAUAAAUUGACCCAUGAUACAUAACCAGUCUAACUGUUCAAAGAUCUUUCCUAUUGUAUGAUUAGAAUGUGUCACACAGCAGAUAUCAUUUUGAAGGCAUCUCUCUGCAUCAGUCACCUAGGUCUAUUUCUAUGGAAGCAUUCUCUUCUGAUCCUUGCCCCUAGCAAACAUAACAACUAAAAAAGUUGACAUUUUGAUUGUUUUCUGAACUUCUUUUGCACAUGCACAAUAGAAUUCAUGAAUGUGAAGGCCCAUGCCUUUGCAAGAGAAUUGGAAUAAGGAGCCCCACGCCUUUAUAAGAGAGGUUUUGGAAAAUGAGGCAAUCCUUGCCUGCACUACAUCAAAUUGAUACCAACCAAAAAGUAAAGAUGCUCUGAAAAUUGACUAAUGUGGUUUGUUGUACUCCAGAGUCCAAUUUGUAUGAAGCAUAUUGGUUCAAUAUCCCACCCUCAGCCCAAGUGACUUGGAAUCAGAUUCUAAUAACAACCAAAUAAGUAAAUAAUAAUAUAGAAGCACCUAAAAAGAGAGGAAAAAAUCUCAAGAACAACCUUUCAAACAUGAUUGUUCAAACUCAAACAGAAGAGUACAUUUCACAGUAAGCCAAGACCAUGGAUCAGAAUCAAAUCUUAUCUGGAACCUGAUAAACAAGUUUUCAAACACGAGCAUUCAAAUGCAGACAGUAAAUUUCAUCUCACAUUUUAGCGAAUCAACCACUAAGGCUUGUCCAGAUAAUUUUUUCACAUUUUAGGAUCACCAGUCCCAAAGAGGACAGAAUCUUUCUUUUGUUUUUUUAUCUGUGCUUGUGCUUCUGAUUUCCUUGGGCUCCAUGCCUCAGAUUUUUGUAACGCUUGGUGCAUUUGUCUACUCUUCAUAGGACAUUUUGGUACUUCUACAUUUCGCUUGUUUUUCUCUUUUUUUUUUUUCUUUUUCAGUAAGAAGUUUUACUAAUAACUACUAUCUCAGAUAUUUACAACCAAUUGAACCAUUUAUAAACAAAUAUGACCCUAUUUGACAACUCUACUAAGAUGUAUAUGUCUUUUCUAUUAAAGGAAUUACAGUAAGAAGCAAUAAUGUCAGCAGGUGAAUUCAUCUUUCCACAUACAUUAAUAUCUUUCCAUUACCUAAGGUUUGUAGCACCUCAAACUAUUCUCUUAAAUACUCUACUGAACACCAAAGAGCUCUAGCACUUUCAAGCUAUCCUUACCAUUGGAUGAAUCACUGGCAACAGUACCUUCUUUAGACUCUUUGAAUCUGCCACUCCCAAGCAAAUAGAAUAGCAUCAGGUUCACAUGACAAGCUUCCUUUUUCAUUUGCUAACAAUAUUCACUUUUAUCCAUCCCUAAUAGUUUCCUUCUUAAGUUACAGUAAUAGUAACUAAUAAAAAAUGGAUUUUUAUACUUGGUGUAUAUUAUUAGAUACCCUUUGUGUUUACUUAUUAGGGGGCAGUUCAUCUUGUUGUUUCAGGGGACAAUGGUUGUACUUAAAGUAAAGCGGCACCAACAAUCUUUCAUUUUCUUAUUCUUUCCUUUCCAUUUUUGAAACACCCCUUGCAAAAAUAGAACAAAAACUUUCAUCCUUCACCCAGUUAGUUCUUCCUCUGGCAUCUCUACUUCUUUCUUCUGUUCAAUUGUCUUUUUAUUUUAUCUUCUCAUUUUUAUUUGUUCUACACCCUUAUUUACCAGCAAGGUAACAUUUUUCUUUCUGUUAGAUCACAAUCCCAAGUUUUCCUUUCAGUUAAAACCUGACGGUUGGUUGCAAAAAAAAUCAGCAAAUCAGCAAAUACUUUCUCACAGAGCACGUGCAAAAAUAAAAAAUUAAAAACAAUAAAGAAACAUGUAUUUGAGCACAACAUUAUUUAUAUAGCUUAGUGCAUAUAACAAUAUAUUAAACAAAAGGUCCUGCACAUGUUUGACCAAAUUAAUCUAUAAUGCUACUGCAUAAGAUUGGGGUAUUAAAUAUCCAACAUUAUCUUCCUUUACAAUCCAAAGUUUUUUCACCAUUUUUUGUUCAGCCAAUUUGCAUGAUAUUUGAAUAAAUAGAGGAUCAUUAUAAGAAAUUGAUUUCGUAAUUCUUGCCCAAAUUCCACCAUUGAAUUCUUUUACCUCACUUUAUUUGACAGUAAUGAAAUCUUGCUAUUUCUGAAUAGGAAUCAUUCAGAUCUGUGCUGUUUGGUCCGGCUAUGCAUCAACUAUGCAUUAGUUGAUACAUAAUAGCAUCAACAACACAAGCAACAUGAAAUGUAAGACAUCAAUUUAUCAUUGUCAAAUUAAGAUGACUCAUCAAAGAGUCUUAGAAAAGAAAAACUCUUUUGUCAAACUACCAUAUGAACCUACCAAUGAUAACACCUCCUGGUUGAUACACCUCAGUAUCACUGAUAGAUAGUCUUUACCAUGUUGAACCAUGCUUACCACAUUUCAAAUGUCACUCAUACAAUUGAAGCAGUUUUCGGACUAGAACUCUCUUGCAUAGCACAUUUGUUUGCCCUAGUAUCCUCAUUAGAAAAUAAAUUUUCACAAAUAAAAUAAAAUGUAUUCAGAUCUUAUCCAACAGGUAAUUAUUGUUGAAUAGAAGCAACACUUACGUGCUAACUGUUGAAGGCCGAUAAAGCCGUUUACUAAAUCUGUUUCCCGCAUCAAUUUUGUCAACAAGAGGUCUAGCAUAACCUGCUUGGUAUGCAAAAGCAUAAAUCAUACAAUAAAAUAAAGCAAUCAAGCAAAGGUCUGGAAAUAGAGAAAUAACAUGAAAACCUUCAAGAGCAGCAGUGAAAAGAACAAGUUCUGCAAAUUCACUGAUCUGUUCUAAGAAUUCUUGUAAACCAGGUCGUUCAAACACUGUUACGUAACUGAUAUUUGGUUUUCCUUCACAUUCCUGCAACCCAACAAGUAACGUUAAUCAUUCAGCAAGAAACAAGUUAAGAAAGCAGGGGAGGGGGAGGUAGGGAGGGAGGGAUGGGAAGAGAGAGAGAGACCUUGUCUGAAGAUACACAUUCCAACUCAAACCACUUCAGUCCAGCUUCUAUUGCCUGGGUGCGUAAAUGGGCAGGCAAGCUAGAGGUUUCAUAUGCACAUACCAGAGUCUCAUCCAAGUCAAGAACAACCUGCAUGCCAAAAACCAUAUUAACCCUGUUAACUUGGAUAGAGAAUUAGCUUGUCCUAUACAGCCAACAAGAUACAUCUUGCAGCAAACAUAUGUUUGAGCAUUGAUUACCCUAUACAUAAAUCUGGAACUUUUUUUAUUGACAAAUGAAAUUCAUCAAAAGAUACCAAAGGAUUGUAACAGAGUACAUAAAUAGUAUAAAGAUUGCACCUAAAGGAUGGGAAAAAGAAAAAUACAAGUAUAUAAAAGAAAAGCAUUAAGUGAUCACUAUGAUCUACAUAAAGUAAAAGAUAAAAAAAUAGAAAACAAAAAGGUAUGAGCAAACCACUAGAAUCCCAUGGCACCCAAAAAAAGAGCAACCUCCACAACACCUUCUACUUCUUCAAAAUAUGAGCUCCUUACCAUCAAAUGUGUGCCAAUUCUCCCCUACUAAACAUACUAUGGAAAGAAUGACAUUAGGAAAGCCAUGGCUAUAUAAUUUUUUAAUUGAGGAGAAAAUUAGGCAAUCUCAUAAUCAAAGGGAUCUGAUAUAAUUGGGUUAGGAAAGUUUUUAUUUUUUGUGUUAGGAAUUUUUGUAUGUAUAUGGGUCUUUGUAUGGACUUAAUAUCAAGGAAGAAUUUUAUACCUUUGAUUCCUCCCCAUCCCUCUUCUUCUACAUGGUAUAAGAGCAUCAAACUCUUAAAUUUGGGAAGAAAAGGAUUUUUUUUUUCAACCUUCAUUGCCGAGUUGAAGAUCAUAGUCGACCUUCAUUGUCGACCUUAAGGUUUCCUUCUCGUCUGAGUUGCACCAUUGCUGCAAACACAACCUCGUACUAAUGCUGCAAACCCAUAUCACAAACUUGACAAUCGGAGACCUCAGCCAUCGUCCUCAUGCUAUUGUCCUCACACCAACAUCCUUGUGAACUCAUCACGAAAUUGAGAUCGUGCCUCCGGCUUCACACCAAUACAAAUCUUCCUUCUCACAAGCCCCACGCUCCUUGCAGUCAGAUUCGGUAGUGCUCUUGCAAGCCCUAGCUGCCUCGACUUUGCUCGUCUUCUUUGACAUCGUUAAUCUCUCUCUCAAGUUUUCUGAGCCUCUACCAGCAACGGCAAUCCUCCUUGUGUUGUCAAAAACAACAGAGGAUCAUGUCAUCCAACAAUUCUCUACGACUUCCCUUCAUCGCCAACAAAAUCACGAGCUUUGAAGUCUUUAACCACCACAAACUAUCGCCGACAGCUAAGUU